RNAcentral lists this ribosomal RNA (332 nucleotides) under uncultured bacterium. RNAcentral's name for it is "bacterial SSU rRNA". It matches the Rfam family "Bacterial small subunit ribosomal RNA", at positions 9 to 337 of the family's 1533-position model. The record is from RNAcentral.
GAGUUUGAUCGUGGCUCAGGACGAACGCUGGCGGCGUGCCUAACACAUGCAAGUCGAACGGACGAGAGGGAGCUUGCUCCCUCAAGUUAGUGGCGGACGGGUGAGUAACGCGUGAGUAACCUGCCUUUCAGAGGGGAAUAACAUUCUGAAAAGGAUGCUAAUACCGCAUGACAUCGUAGUAUCGCAUGGUACAGCGAUCAAAGGAGCAAUCCGCUGAAAGAUGGACUCGCGUCCGAUUAGCUAGUUGCGGGAUAAAGGCCCACCAAGGCGACGAUCGGUAGCCGGACUGAGAGGUUGAUCGGCCACAUUGGGACUGAGACACGGCCCAGACU